CCUACGGGGUGCAGCAGUGGGGAAUAUUGCACAAUGGGGGAAACCCUGAUGCAGCGACGCCGCGUGAGUGAAGAAGUAAUUCGUUAUGUAAAGCUCUAUCAGCAGGGAAGAAAAUGACGGUACCUGAGUAAGAAGCCCCGGCUAACUACGUGCCAGCAGCCGCGGUAAUACGUAGGGGGCAAGCGUUAUCCGGAUUUACUGGGUGUAAAGGGAGCGUAGACGGCAGUGCAAGUCUGGAGUGAAAGGGGGGGGCUCAACCCCCGGACUGCUCUGGAAACGGUACGGCUGGAGUGCAGGAGAGGUAAGUGGAAUUCCUAGUGUAGCGGUGAAAUGCGUAGAUAUUAGGAGGAACACCAGUGGCGAAGGCGGCUUACUGGACUGUAACUGACGUUGAGGCUCGAAAGCGUGGGGAGCAAACAGGAUUAGAUACCCUUGUAGUC
This 440-nucleotide ribosomal RNA is filed under the name uncultured bacterium. RNAcentral's name for it is "partial 16S ribosomal RNA". It matches the Rfam family "Bacterial small subunit ribosomal RNA", at positions 338 to 795 of the family's 1533-position model. The record is from RNAcentral.